This is a long non-coding RNA of Triticum aestivum (bread wheat), 590 nucleotides long. RefSeq lists it as uncharacterized. Lineage: Eukaryota; Viridiplantae; Streptophyta; Magnoliopsida; Poales; Poaceae. The transcript has 3 exons. The record is from RefSeq and is a predicted model, not a curated record.
CAGCAGCAUAUAUACUCGGUGGAUUCUCAUCCCAUCCUGACAUCCUCUCAGGUCUCCACUCUCUCGAUCAGCUUGAUGCCCGCCGCUUCCAAGAUCUCCAGCGCUUCACAGCCGCAAACACACAGGUGUAAGGUGUGUGUGAUGUGUGAUGUGUUGUGAUUGGGGUGCAGCAGUACCAGGGCUCCUAUCGCUGCCGGUACCCCGACGGUGAGGGCCAUGGCGGUGGUCGACCUGCCAUUCUCGGUCUUUCCGAACUCCAGCAGCGUCGCUUGGUGCUUUUCGGUUGGUCGCCCGUCGGGGUACUCCACCUCGACUUCAUGGUGGAGCAGUACCAUAUCCUGAAUCGUGGGAGCAAAACAAAAUUUUAGCUCGUCAUGGUCCAAAUGUGAAAUUUCUGGCACAAAAGGAGUAAUACCGCAGAGAGCUCGGGGAGUUUGUCAGCAUCAACGAAGGUAUGUGGCAAUAGCUUGAAUAUCUCUUGUGCGCCCUGCGAAACUGUGACACAUGAAGUUAUAAAUGUGAGUAAGUGUGCUGCAACCAGUAACCUGAAUGUGAAGGCAACGAAAGUGAACACUGGGAUUACCAUUUCC